Molecule: long non-coding RNA, 817 nt
Filed under: Sus scrofa (pig)
Lineage: Eukaryota; Metazoa; Chordata; Mammalia; Artiodactyla; Suidae
Description: lncRNA (ENSSSCG00065078209.1)
Source: RNAcentral
AUUAAAUAGCUCCAGAUGCUGAGUGAAAAGGAUAUUUUAAAUCAGAAAGACACUUUUCUGCAUUGGGCCACAUGAACCCUAGAAUCUAAAAACCAGGCUUGGCCAGGAAGAUGUGGAGCUUCUGUCCUUUUAAAAUCACCCGGGUAGAGAAAGAGACAACAUGGGCGUUACGGAGGCUUCAGGCUCCCUGGCGAGAGGCACAGAAGGAAGCCCUGUCGGGUCAGGUCAAGCUGGGAGUGCACUCUGUGUGCGUGCCUACCAACAAAGCCCCAAAUACCUGGGAUCGCCCAACGACAGUGGCUGGAGUAAGAGAUGGGAGCAGGAAGACUUGAAAUGGUGCAGAAGAUACAACCCCAUCCGUCAGGAGUGAAAACAAAGAAGAGGAUGGCAUGACUUGGCUUUAGUGUUGACAGCAGGUAUUACAUAACAUCUCUUUGUAGAAGAAGAGGGUAGAUCUUAGACGUCAAUUAUCCUUCCUACUUUUUGAGGAACUAUGUAUUUCUGUAGAAUUAAGAAAUACGGUCCCCAAACGCCCACCUAGCUUGUUGUACCAAAUUACAAUUAGAGACAGCAUGACCUAACUGAAAGAGACCCAGCCAAGACCUUGGAUAAAUAGCUUAGUUUCCCUGGGGAAGCAGGGGAAGGAGGUGUGGGGUAAAUUCCUGCUUCUACUACUACCUAUGACCACAAGUAUCUUUUCUUACUCGUUUCUAGUGGGUUUUUUUUUUUUUUUUUCUUGGAGGGGAAGGGAAAUUUCUCAAAUAACCCAUGUAAAAAAUAUUUUGUAAACUAGGAAGGAUUAUUAUCACUUGGGCAU